UACACGACCGUACCGCAAACCGACACUGGUGCGCGAGAUGAGUAUUCUAAGGCGCUUGAGAGAACUCAGGAGAAGGAACUCGGCAAAUUGACACCGUAACUUCGGAAGAAGGUGUGCCUUUAGUAGGUGAACCAUUUACUUGGGGAGCCCAAUGAGGCUGCAAAAAAUCGGUGGCUGCAACUGUUUAUUAAAAACACAGCACUCUGCUAAGACGAAAGUCGACGUAUAGGGUGUGACGCCUGCCCGGUGCUGGAAGAUUAAAUGAUGGGGUGCAAGCUCUUGAUUGAAGUCCCAGUAAACGGCGGCCGUAACAAUAACGGUCCUAAGGUAGCGAAAUUCCUUGUCGGGUAAGUUCCGACCUGCACGAAUGGCGUAAUGAUGGCCACACUGUCUCCUCCUGAGACUCAGCGAAGUUGAAAUGUUUGUGAUGAUGCAAUCUCCCCGCGGAAAGACGGAAAGACCCCAUGAACCUUUACUGUAGCUUUGUAUUGGACUUUGAACAGAUCUGUGUAGGAUAGGUGGGAGGCUUUGAAGUGUGGUCGCUAGAUCGCAUGGAGCCAACGUUGAAAUACCACCCUGGUGUGUUUGAGGUUCUAACCUAGGUCCAUUAUCUGGAUCGGGGACAGUGCAUGGUGGGCAGUUUGACUGGGGCGGUCUCCUCCCAAAGUGUAACGGAGGAGUUCGAAGGUACGCUAGGUACGGUCGGACAUCGUGCUAAUAGUGCAAUGGCAUAAGCGUGCUUAACUGCGAGACUGACAAGUCGAGCAGAUGCGAAAGCAGGACAUAGUGAUCCGGUGGUUCUGUAUGGAAGGGCCAUCGCUCAACGGAUAAAAGGUACUCUGGGGAUAACAGGCUGAUACCGCCCAAGAGUUCAUAUCGACGGCGGUGUUUGGCACCUCGAUGUCGGCUCAUCUCAUCCUGGGGCUGUAGCCGGUCCCAAGGGUAUGGCUGUUCGCCAUUUAAAGAGGUACGUGAGCUGGGUUUAAAACGUCGUGAGGCAGUUUGGUCCCUAUCUUCCGUGGGCGCUGCAGAUUUGAGGAAGCCUGCUCCUAGUACGAGAGGACCGGAGUGGACGAACCUCUGGUGUAUCGGUUGUCACGCCAGUGGCAUUGCCGAGUAGCUAAGUUCGGAAGAGAUAACCGCUGAAAGCAUCUAAGCGGGAAACUCGUUUCAAGAUUAGAUCUGCCGGGGCCUUGAGCCCCCUAAAGAGUCGUUCAAGACCAGGACGUUGAUAGGUCAGGUGUGGAAGCCAAAAAAAAAAG
This 1262-nucleotide ribosomal RNA is filed under the name metagenome. RNAcentral describes it as "bacterial LSU rRNA". It matches the Rfam family "Bacterial large subunit ribosomal RNA", at positions 1635 to 2890 of the family's 2925-position model. The record is from RNAcentral.